AGUGAACGCUGGCGGUAGGCCUAACACAUGCAAGUCGAACGGCAGCACAGUAAGAGCUUGCUCUUACGGGUGGCGAGUGGCGGACGGGUGAGGAAUACAUCGGAAUCUACUUUUUCGUGGGGGAUAACGUAGGGAAACUUACGCUAAUACCGCAUACGACCUACGGGGGAAAGCAGGGGAUCUUCUGACCUUGCGCGAUUGAAUGAGCCGAUGUCGGAUUAGCUAGUUGGCGGGGUAAAGGCCCACCAAGGCGACGAUCCGUAGCUGGUCUGAGAGGAUGGUCAGCCACACUGGAACUGAGACACGGUCCAGACUCCUACGGGAGGCAGCAGUGGGGAAUAUUGGACAAUGGGCGCAAGCCUGAUCCAGCCAUACCGCGUGGGUGAAGAAGGCCUUCGGGUUGUAAAGCCCUUUUGUUGGGAAAGAAAAGCAGCAGGUUAAUACCCCGCUGUUCUGACGGUACCCAAAGAGUAAGCACCGGCUAACUUCGUG
This 492-nucleotide ribosomal RNA is filed under the name uncultured bacterium. RNAcentral describes it as "partial 16S ribosomal RNA". It matches the Rfam family "Bacterial small subunit ribosomal RNA", at positions 29 to 507 of the family's 1533-position model. The record is from RNAcentral.